This is a long non-coding RNA of Camelus dromedarius (Arabian camel), 380 nucleotides long. RefSeq lists it as uncharacterized. The transcript is spliced from 3 exons. NCBI's taxonomy places the organism in Eukaryota, Metazoa, Chordata, Mammalia, Artiodactyla, Camelidae. The record is from RefSeq and is a predicted model, not a curated record.
UCUAACCUAGAGAAAGGUCACAAGUAAGACAGGAGGAAGGGACUCUUCCCGAUUGAGGGGCAGGGGCGCAUGGCGAGGUCGUGGGCACAAGCCUGCUGUGAGUGUGCGUUAGCUGCAGGAGGAAGCUGAAGGCAGGAACUGUCUAGACAGAGCUGACCUUGAGAAAGGAAAAGGCCGUCACGGUGACUAGACCUGAAGGAGCCGUUGCAGUAGUGUGUAAGGACCAGCUCCAUGUGUCCUGGCCAGAACACUGAAUCCUGAAUCACAGAUCCUGAUUAUUCACUUGAAACCAAUGGAAAUCAUUGAAUUUGGGAAAAAACAAACAAAAGAAAACCUUUUGGAUUAUACUUAAAGAUGGUACUGAAAGAACAGGAAGAAGU